This is a long non-coding RNA of Andrographis paniculata, 1645 nucleotides long. RefSeq lists it as uncharacterized. Lineage: Eukaryota; Viridiplantae; Streptophyta; Magnoliopsida; Lamiales; Acanthaceae. The record is from RefSeq and is a predicted model, not a curated record. The transcript is spliced from 3 exons.
UAAAAAAUAUUUUAACUUUUAAUUUAAUAUUUUAUCAAAUAAAAAAUAUUUAAUAUAAUAUUUUAUUACAUUUAUUAAUCAAACUAAAUAAUUAUCUAACAUAAUAUAUUUUAAAUUGUGUGCCCAAAAAAAUUUGACUAAUUUCAUGACGGACGGUGGAAGUAAUAUAUAUAUAUAUAUAUAUAUAUAUACACCACAAACGAUAAGACAAAGAGGAACUAUCAUUAUAUAUUCUUAGCAUUAAUAUGAAGAUAAGGAUAUUGGAUAAGCUUUGGGAAAAGUGAAACAAAUAUUAUUGGCAAAAACUCCGUCACUCCUCCACAUUCUCUCAACCGGCGAGUCCUCUGCUGCGAAUCCAAUCUCAAACUCUCAAUCCAAUUCAGUUAUGUGCCCUCGUAGACAUUUUGAUUCUGAAUCUUCUUACUACGAACUCUCUUGGCCAACAUUUCGAUUCAGAUUUCUCACUCAGACUCAGGGAGAAAUGGCUAAACAUGUUCAGAUGUAUUCCAUCCCGAGUAAAAUAGCAAAAUUGAAUAAACUGCUAGAGUCUGAAAAUAAGGAAGUGUUUAGAUCCUAUAUUGAGAAGUCAUGUUUUGAGGGUCUUCUAUAUGUUAGGAAAAUGAAAAUAAAUGGUGAGCCAUUGCUUCAGUUAAUGAGAAAUUGGGACACCGAAAAAAAGUGUUUUGUUUUUUUAGAUGAGACGGAAUGACAUAUUACCGAUGAUGAUGUUGCUCGAGUAUAUGGGCUCCCACAUGGAUUUGGUAAAAGUCUCAUAUCUUUAGUAAAGCCUUCAAACUAUUAUAGUGAAAUUCAUGAAAUUAGCCAACCCUUUGAGUUUGAUACAAUAAAUUCUACGGUAGUCCAAAAUUGUUGGUUAUCAGAGAUAUUACACUCUUCUAGAUUGUACCGUCCUAUUGACUUUUGGAGAUUUUAUGUUCUAUAUUCUCUGUCGACGUUAUUAAUUCUAUUAACAUCUCCAUGUAUCAAUAAUCGAUUCUUGAGGUUCCUUGUAUCUCCUGAGGAUGCUUUAAGAUAUAAUUGGGUUGCUGUUAUAAAAGACAAGUUGGUGGAUUUAAUUCACAAUUUUAAGUGUAAAUUGGUGGAUAACAUAAAACCAACUUGUAGACCGACAUGAGAUAUGCAUUGUCUUAUGGUAAGUGUUUGAAAUGUGUAAAUAUAGUAUGUACAUACAUAUUUUUGUAUUCUUCUCUAAUUUUUUUUGUUAUGUUCAUCAUUUAGUUUACGAUCUAAUUGAUCGUAAAAAUUUGGGACUAGGAGCUUUACUUGCUUUUUUAAGAGACACAUGCGUUUGACUGAUGUGAUUUAAUAUUUUGGAGAGUUUUCAAUUGAAACUCAAAAUAAAUUAGCUGAGGAAAAUAAGGUAUGUGUUACAUAUUAUAUUGUAAAGUAUGUGUUACAUAUUAUAUAUAAGGUGAUGGACUUGUAAAAUUCUAAAUGGUAAAUCUAAAUAGGCAUCUUGUUUCCCAGCAUGUAAGACUAGAAGGUUUCUUGUUUCCUUACAUUUAAUACCUGAAGUUUAUUUGAGCUAAUUUUGUGUAGAGAACAUUAUUGUUUCUUCUCUUCCAUAUGAAGUCUAAGUAUAUUUUUUUGCAAUAGAAAAUUAAAAGAUAUGGGUUCUACUAUG